UGAACGCUGGCGGUAUGCUUAACACAUGCAAGUCGAACGGAAACGAUACUAGCUUGCUAGUAGGCGUCGAGUGGCGGACGGGUGAGUAACGCGUAGGAAUCUGCCUGAUAGUGGGGGAUAGCCCGAAGAAAUUCGGAUUAAUACCGCAUAAUCUAUUCGUAGUAAAGUGGGGGACUUUCGAGCCUCACGCUAUCAGAUGAGCCUGCGUAAGAUUAGCUAGUUGGUAGGGUAAAAGCCUACCAAGGCAACGAUCUUUAGCUGGUCUGAGAGGAUGAUCAGCCACAUCGGGACUGAGACACGGCCCGAACUCCUACGGGAGGCAGCAGUGGGGAAUAUUGGACAAUGGGGGCAACCCUGAUCCAGCAAUACCGCGUGUGUGAAGAAGGCCUGAGGGUUGUAAAGCACUUUCAAUUGUGAAGAAAAGUUAACGGUUAAUAACCGUUAGCCUUGACGUUAACUUUAGAAGAAGCACCGGCUAACUCCGUGCCAGCAGCCGCGGUAAUACGGAGGGUGCAAGCGUUAAUCGGAAUUACUGGGCGUAAAGCGUGCGUAGGCGGUUUAUUAAGUCAGAUGUGAAAGCCCCGGGCUUAACCUGGGAACUGCAUUUGAAACUGGUCAACUAGAGUAUGGUAGAGGAAAGUGGAAUUUCUGGUGUAGCGGUGAAAUGCGUAGAUAUCAGAAGGAACAUCAAUGGCGAAGGCAGCUUUCUGGACCAAUACUGACGCUGAGGUACGAAAGCGUGGGUAGCAAACAGGAUUAGAUACCCUGGUAGUCCACGCCGUAAACGAUGAUAACUAGCCGUUGGGGGGAUUUACCCUUUAGUGGCGAAGCUAACGCGUUAAGUUAUCCGCCUGGGGAGUACGGCCGCAAGGUUAAAACUCAAAGGAAUUGACGGGGACCCGCACAAGCGGUGGAGCAUGUGGUUUAAUUCGAUGCAACGCGAAGAACCUUACCUGGUCUUGACAUCCUGCGAACUUUCUAGAAAUAGAUUGGUGCCUUCGGGAACGCAGUGACAGGUGCUGCAUGGCUGUCAUCAGCUCGUGUCGUGAGAUGUUGGGUUAAGUCCCGUAACGAGCGCAACCCCUAUCCUUAUUUGCCAGCACGUCAUGGUGGGAACUAUAAGGAGACUGCCGGUGAUAAACCGGAGGAAGGCGGGGACGACGUCAAGUCAUCAUGGCCCUUACGACCAGGGCUACACACGUGCUACAAUGGGAAGGACAAAGAGCCGCGAAGCCGCGAGGUGUAGCUAAUCUCAGAAACCUUUUCGUAGUCCGGAUUGGAGUCUGCAACUCGACUCCAUGAAGUCGGAAUCGCUAGUAAUCGUAGAUCAGAAUGCUACGGUGAAUACGUUCCCGGGUCUUGUACUCACCGCCC
This 1374-nucleotide ribosomal RNA is filed under the name uncultured bacterium. RNAcentral describes it as "16S ribosomal RNA". It matches the Rfam family "Bacterial small subunit ribosomal RNA", at positions 30 to 1395 of the family's 1533-position model. The record is from RNAcentral.